RNAcentral lists this ribosomal RNA (401 nucleotides) under uncultured bacterium. RNAcentral's name for it is "bacterial SSU rRNA". It matches the Rfam family "Bacterial small subunit ribosomal RNA", at positions 975 to 1375 of the family's 1533-position model. The record is from RNAcentral.
CAGGUCUUGACAUCUCCUGACAACCCUAGAGAUAGGGCGUUCCCCUUCGGGGGACAGGAUGACAGGUGGUGCAUGGUUGUCGUCAGCUCGUGUCGUGAGAUGUUGGGUUAAGUCCCGCAACGAGCGCAACCCUUGAUCUUAGUUGCCAGCAUUCAGUUGGGCACUCUAAGGUGACUGCCGGUGACAAACCGGAGGAAGGUGGGGAUGACGUCAAAUCAUCAUGCCCCUUAUGACCUGGGCUACACACGUGCUACAAUGGAUGGUACAAAGGGCUGCGAGACCGCGAGGUUAAGCGAAUCCCAUAAAACCAUUCUCAGUUCGGAUUGCAGGCUGCAACUCGCCUGCAUGAAGCCGGAAUCGCUAGUAAUCGCGGAUCAGCAUGCCGCGGUGAAUACGUUCCC